GCCUCUGUAGCUCAGUUGGUUAGAGCGCUGCACCGUAGUUGCAAGGUCACAUGUUCGAUUACUGCCAGAGGAC
This 73-nucleotide transfer RNA is filed under the name Paramuricea clavata. RNAcentral describes it as "tRNA-Tyr". The record is from RNAcentral. Lineage: Eukaryota; Metazoa; Cnidaria; Anthozoa; Malacalcyonacea; Plexauridae.